Molecule: ribosomal RNA, 410 nt
Filed under: Staphylococcus aureus
Lineage: Bacteria; Bacillati; Bacillota; Bacilli; Caryophanales; Staphylococcaceae
Description: bacterial SSU rRNA
Rfam family: Bacterial small subunit ribosomal RNA
Source: RNAcentral
AUUAAGUUGGGCACUCUAAGUUGACUGCCGGUGACAAACCGGAGGAAGGUGGGGAUGACGUCAAAUCAUCAUGCCCCUUAUGAUUUGGGCUACACACGUGCUACAAUGGACAAUACAAAGGGCAGCGAAACCGCGAGGUCAAGCAAAUCCCAUAAAGUUGUUCUCAGUUCGGAUUGUAGUCUGCAACUCGACUACAUGAAGCUGGAAUCGCUAGUAAUCGUAGAUCAGCAUGCUACGGUGAAUACGUUCCCGGGUCUUGUACACACCGCCCGUCACACCACGAGAGUUUGUAACACCCGAAGCCGGUGGAGUAACCUUUUAGGAGCUAGCCGUCGAAGGUGGGACAAAUGAUUGGGGUGAAGUCGUAACAAGGUAGCCGUAUCGGAAGGUGCGGCUGGAUCACCUCCUUU